UGCAAUUCCUAUUUAACCAACGUCGGCGUUCGUCUCCGCGGUGCGAUAAAGAAAAAUUUGCUUCUGCAAAUAACUUUCCCAAAUCUUCAUUUUCUGCCUUUGAUUUUCCGCACAUACAUUUCCCUUGGGGCAGCCCGCGGGUGCUGUACUAGAAAGUCUGCAGUAUCAAUUACGAUACCACGUUGACGGCUCCUCCCACUGAACAUUUAGACGUGGUCAGGCGCUCGUCUUCACAAGCGGAUUUGACCUGACUGCUAGGAGCGCUCGGCAAUUGCUUCUUCGUCUACCAUGGCGCCUUCCUUGAUGUCGUUGGUGCGAUGUCUGCUGGUGGUCACGCUGCUGGCGAGGCAGGGCAGCGUGGUGACCUCGUUUACUUUCGAAGGUCGGGCCGAGUGUGGUGAGAACUGCGGCGGCGUCGCAGGGUUCACGUGCGUGGACGAGUGCCGCUGCGUCUUCCACCAAGCUGCCGAUUUCGGCGUCUGCCGUCCGCUCAAUUACGACGAGGCCAAUCUGCCCGAAAUAAUGUUAUGAGGGGGUGCCCCCCCUUUUCCCGAAAGUAAACUUUGUAUCACGAGA
Molecule: long non-coding RNA, 576 nt
Organism: Dermacentor albipictus
Lineage: Eukaryota; Metazoa; Arthropoda; Arachnida; Ixodida; Ixodidae
Source: RefSeq, a predicted model, not a curated record